CUAGAGACCCUAUCGACGGGGGGGUUUGGCACCUCGAUGUUGGAUUAUCGCAUCCUGGAGCUGUAAGUGGUUCCAAGGGUUUGGCUGUUCGCCAAUGAAGGCGGUACAUGAUCUGAGUUUAGAACGUUGCGAAACAGUUUGGUCCCUAUCUACCGCGAGUGUAAAAAAUUGAGAGGAGUAAACCUUAGUACGAGAGGACCGGGAAAAGUAAAUCCAUGGUGAAUCGAUUGUUAUACCAAUAGCAUAGUCGAGUAGCUACAUUUAUAAUAAAUAAUUACUGAAAGCAUCUAAGUAAGAAA
Molecule: ribosomal RNA, 299 nt
Filed under: uncultured Nitzschia
Lineage: Eukaryota; Bacillariophyta; Bacillariophyceae; Bacillariales; Bacillariaceae
Description: partial Bacterial large subunit ribosomal RNA
Rfam family: Bacterial large subunit ribosomal RNA
Source: RNAcentral